Molecule: transfer RNA, 72 nt
Filed under: Camelus bactrianus (Bactrian camel)
Lineage: Eukaryota; Metazoa; Chordata; Mammalia; Artiodactyla; Camelidae
Also listed under: 2 other names
Rfam family: tRNA
About the family: Transfer RNA (tRNA) molecules are approximately 80 nucleotides in length. Their secondary structure includes four short double-helical elements and three loops (D, anti-codon, and T loops).
Source: Rfam by way of RNAcentral
GGGAAUAUAGCUCAGUGGUAGAGUGUGUGCUUAGCAUGCCCAAGGUCCUGGGUUCAAUCCCUAGUAUCUCCA